This 347-nucleotide long non-coding RNA is filed under the name Prunus persica (peach). RNAcentral's name for it is "long non-coding RNA (PPER_LNC001102)". Lineage: Eukaryota; Viridiplantae; Streptophyta; Magnoliopsida; Rosales; Rosaceae. The record is from RNAcentral.
UUUUCUUUCUUUGGUUUGUUUGCCACAAUAAUUUUCUUGUGUAAUUCUUCUUUUACCCUUUGAUGGUUUUGUUACUAUUUUUGUUUUUGUGUUUGUUUGCAGUUUUUGUUUUUGUUAUUGUUUUACAUUUUUUUUGUUUUUGUUUAUAUUAUUAAUAUCUACAUUAUUUUUAUUUUAAAAUCCCAUUUAAAUAUGAGAACUUUUGGUUUUUCUUGAAACUGCAGUGCAUUAUUCGAUCUUCUUCUUCUAUUGCAAUAUUCAUGUUUUGAUGUGAAGCUCAGUUUUUUGAUGUUGAUCUAUGUAUAUUCUUGAUCAAAUUGUUAUUUGAAUUUUCUACUUAUUUUUCA